GACAGAGGGUGCAAACGUUGCUCGGAAUCACUGGGCGUAAAGGGCGUGUAGGCGGGUAGGCAAGUCGGGCGUGAAACUCCCUGAGCUCAACUCAGGAACUGCACUCGAAACUACUUAUCUUGAGUGCCGGAGAGGAAAGCGGAAUACCUGGUGUAGAGGUGAAAUUCGUAGAUAUCCAGGUGGAACACCAGUGGCGAAGGCGGCUU
Molecule: ribosomal RNA, 206 nt
Filed under: uncultured bacterium
Lineage: Bacteria
Description: partial 16S ribosomal RNA
Rfam family: Bacterial small subunit ribosomal RNA
Source: RNAcentral